GGCGAACGGGUGAGUAACAUAUCGGAACGUACCGAGUAAUGGGGGAUAACUAAUCGAAAGAUUAGCUAAUACCGCAUAUUCUCUGAGGAGGAAAGCAGGGGACCUUCGGGCCUUGCGUUAUUCGAGCGGCCGAUAUCUGAUUAGCUAGUUGGUGGGGUAAAGGCCUACCAAGGCGACGAUCAGUAGCGGGUCUGAGAGGAUGAUCCGCCACACUGGGACUGAGACACGGCCCAGACUCCUACGGGAGGCAGCAGUGGGGAAUUUUGGACAAUGGGCGCAAGCCUGAUCCAGCCAUGCCGCGUGUCUGAAGAAGGCCUUCGGGUUGUAAAGGACUUUUGUCAGGGAAGAAAAGGCUGUUGCUAAUACCAACAGCUGAUGACGGUACCUGAAGAAUAAGCACCGGCUAACUACGUGCCAGCAGCCGCGGUAAUACGUAGGGUGCGAGCGUUAAUCGGAAUUACUGGGCGUAAAGCGAGCGCAGACGGUUACUUAAGCAGGAUGUGAAAUCCCCGGGCUCAACCUGGGAACUGCGUUCUGAACUGGGUGACUAGAGUGUGUCAGAGGGAGGUAGAAUUCCACGUGUAGCACUGAAAUGCGUAGAGAUGUGGAGGAAUACCGAUGGCGAAGGCAGCCUCCUGGGAUAACA
This 646-nucleotide ribosomal RNA is filed under the name Neisseria perflava. RNAcentral describes it as "bacterial SSU rRNA". It matches the Rfam family "Bacterial small subunit ribosomal RNA", at positions 97 to 739 of the family's 1533-position model. The record is from RNAcentral. Lineage: Bacteria; Pseudomonadati; Pseudomonadota; Betaproteobacteria; Neisseriales; Neisseriaceae.